UAGAAUAUAGAUCUAUAUGUAAUUUAGCAUAGUUUUGGAACUCUCUAUAGACUUUCUAGGCUAAAAUUGACUAUCUACUAGACUCUAGUACUAGUCUAGAUCAAGCUGUUAACCAAAUAUGACAACAAGUGCUUCCGAGAUUUUAAGUCAUUUUCAAGAAUACUUAAAUGCGGAACAUGAUCUUAGAGAGGAGAUAAGAAUAGUUGUGAGAGAUUUGGAACAAACAGUUCGAGAAAUACAAACCUCACUUCAACCAAUACACCAACCUGCUCAAACUGCCAAUUACUUAAGCUUUUGUGAAAAUGCUUUAUCCAUGUUUCACAAAAUUCAAGAACAUUACAAACAACUCUCCAGCAAAAUUCCACUAAACCAGUAUUAUAGGUUUAAUGAUCAUUGGAGGUUUGUCACUCAACGUGUGGUCUACAUGUGCGCACUCAUUAUUUAUUUAAAAGAAGAAAGAUUAGUUUCAAGAGAAGAAGUUGCAGACAUGAUUGGAGUUCAAGUAAAUCGAGAAGAUGGCUUUCACAUUGAUUUAGAUGAUUACCUCAUGGGAAUUCUCAAUCUUACUAAUGAACUGUCUCGUCUAGCUAUGAAUGCAGUCACUGCUGGAGACUACUCUCGACCACUGAGAAUUUCACAGUUUAUUGGAGAGCUGGAUGCAGGUUUCAGGUUCUAACAUACAUCUAGUCCCUUAUUGAUGAUGUGCCCUAAGAAAUGAAUUAGCUCUUCUUGACCUCUGUCUUACUUGAUCUGGUUGUCAACCCAUACAGUCUAAAUGAUAGCGGUAGAGAUAUAAGUCCCUCAACAUGCCAACUGUUGUGAAAUAAACAGAUGUCAUCUAAAUAUGCUCUGACAUCAUGACAUCCUGGAAGUACUCAGCCAGUCUGUUUUUUAAAGGUUAUUAAAUUUAAAGAAUGAUGCAUUGAGGAAAAAAUUUGAUGGCUUGAAAUAUGAUGUGAAAAAAUGUGAAGAAGUUGUUUAUGAUUUAACAAUCAGAGGACUAGUCAACAAAGUUGUAGACAAUGUAAAU
RNA transcript from Biomphalaria glabrata, 1030 nucleotides. It is a transcript of the gene named translin-like, with no coding region annotated. The record is from RefSeq and is a predicted model, not a curated record. The transcript has 8 exons. NCBI's taxonomy places the organism in Eukaryota, Metazoa, Mollusca, Gastropoda, Planorbidae.